This 237-nucleotide ribosomal RNA is filed under the name uncultured bacterium. RNAcentral describes it as "partial 16S ribosomal RNA". It matches the Rfam family "Bacterial small subunit ribosomal RNA", at positions 15 to 244 of the family's 1533-position model. The record is from RNAcentral.
GAUCCUGGCUCAGGAUGAACGCUAGCGGCAGGCUUAACACAUGCAAGUCGAGGGGCAGCGAGAUUGAAGCUUGCUUCAAUUGUCGGCGACCGGCGGACGGGUGCGUAACGCGUAUGCAACCUACCCAUAACAGGGGGAUAACACUGAGAAAUUGGUACUAAUACCCCAUAACAUCUCGAGUGGCAUCACUUGGGGUUGAAAGCUUCGGUGGUUAUGGAUGGGCAUGCGUUGUAUUAG